RNAcentral lists this long non-coding RNA (1674 nucleotides) under Brassica napus (rape). RNAcentral's name for it is "long non-coding RNA (BNAP_LNC000070)". Lineage: Eukaryota; Viridiplantae; Streptophyta; Magnoliopsida; Brassicales; Brassicaceae. The record is from RNAcentral.
UAGAUAUGCUAACAUGCCAACAAUGUCAUAAAACAUGCUAACAAUACCACAAUAUUAUUCGAAGAUACAUAAACAGAUAAAUGGUUAUAUGCUAUUAAAAUUGUUAGCAGUCUAACAUUGAAGGGUAUUAAAUAUGUUAACAGUCUAGCAGUUAGUUAUAGAUAUGUUGAUAGCAUUUGCUCGUAAAGAAUCACAAAGAACAUCGCGUCCGACACAACUCCUAUGCACUGUCCAAGAAGUCCACAUACGCUGCUCCUCUGAUUCCAGUAUACACGUAAUUUGCCAAGGUGCUUUUGUGGAGGUUGUUGACUAGGCAGUUCAUUGAUGGUUCCAAAGAUUGAUAUCCAGAAGCCAUUAUGUGCUCAUCAAACAAAACAAUAGCAUCAACUAGUGACCUGAUCUAGUCAUCAAACAAAGCAAUAGCAUCACUUAAAGGUUAUCUUGUUGCUCAAAGAUCAUGGCGGAUCGGAUAAGUAUACAAAUAUACGGCUAAGUAUAUAAGGCUACGGAUAAGUAUACAAAGAUACGGAUAAGUAUAUAAAGCUACAGAUAAGUAUACAAAGAUAUGGCUAAGUAUACAAAGAAUAUGUCUAGGUAUAUAAAGAUACAGCUAAGUAUAUAAAGAUCCGAUGCAAUAAGGGAUAAAUAGCCGGUUAUUUAACAGGUACGACACACACAAAAAAAACAGACAACAACAUUUAUGGCCAUCUUGCAAACAUUACUAGCAUGAGUACUGUCAGUAGAUCAACUCUGGAUUAAAGAUGUCCUAAAUAAACAUGGCUAUCGUCUUAACUGACCAGAGUAUGGUGUCUGAUCAGAAAGCUCUAAGAACUUACUGAUAGAUGAUCUCUUUAUAACAUUGAUUUCGUCUGCAUCCAGAAAAACGCAAAUAAUCAAACAACUAUAGGUCCAAAAAUCAAACAAAAGAAGAACUGGAUCUAUCAAAACAGAGAAACACAAUGAAAAAAAUCAGAAAGACACAACACCAAGGGUAAAAAUCCAUCGGACACUGGCCCUAAAACCCAGAUGUGUGUUGCUUUGAUUCUCGCAUACUCUAAUCAAACCUUAAACAAGACAAUAUGACAUUAACAACUAGGGACAUGCUUUACUUCCGAUGAUAUCAAACCCAGAAAAUUCAGACAUAAGCUUAGCAAAUCAAAUACUCAAACCGAAGUUAAAAAAACCCCACAAAUAGAAAACCCAUAAUGAAAUCGUGGAUCCAGUCAAAGAAACCAAAUCAAGAAUCAUAUAAGAGAAGAGGAUGAUAUACCCUGAAGACGAAGGCGUUGAGCAGCGUCAUGGGAUUCAUAUUGCAUACAAGGAGGAUUGCGUGAAUCUCAUCCUCACUAUAGUUCCCAGCAGUGAUCUCUUCGUCUUCUUGGUAUCCGCCGUAAUCGAAACCCUAGUACCACUCCCCACCAUCCUCUAUUUUUCAAACGAAUAUAGCUUCUGGUAAAUGAAUCUGGGACCAAAUCGAAAAGGUUUGAGCAGUCCUGUAUAUGUAUUUAUACGAAUACGCAGGAGAGUGGAGGAUGGGAUUUGAAACUAGAUUGGUGUUUCGAGGAGGAAGGAGUAGAAGAAGAAAGAAAAGGGGGCGAGAAAGGAGAGAGGAGAGAGAUAUAGGGAUUUUGGAAAACAUACAAAAUAAGUUGUGUAGAAAAAGGUAGGGACAAA